AUUGAACGCUGGCGGCAUGCCUUACACAUGCAAGUCGAACGGUAACAGGUCUUCGGAUGCUGACGAGUGGCGAACGGGUGAGUAAUACAUCGGAACGUGCCCGAUCGUGGGGGAUAACGGAGCGAAAGCUUUGCUAAUACCGCAUAAGAUCUACGGAUGAAAGCAGGGGACCGCAAGGCCUUGCGCGAACGGAGCGGCCGAUGGCAGAUUAGGUAGUUGGUGGGAUAAAAGCUUACCAAGCCGACGAUCUGUAGCUGGUCUGAGAGGACGACCAGCCACACUGGGACUGAGACACGGCCCAGACUCCUACGGGAGGCAGCAGUGGGGAAUUUUGGACGAUGGGCGCAAGCCUGAUCCAGCCAUGCCGCGUGCAGGAUGAAGGCCUUCGGGUUGUAAACUGCUUUUGUACGGAACGAAAAGACUCUGGUUAAUACCUGGGGUCCAUGACGGUACCGUAAGAAUAAGCACCGGCUAACUACGUGCCAGCAGCCGCGGUAA
Molecule: ribosomal RNA, 498 nt
Filed under: uncultured bacterium
Lineage: Bacteria
Description: partial 16S ribosomal RNA
Rfam family: Bacterial small subunit ribosomal RNA
Source: RNAcentral